UUAACUCAAAUUAGUAUAGAGUUGGAACGUUUGCUUACGUUAACCGCUAGAGGCGCUGUUCCAACUGCAUACUUUGAGUUA
RNAcentral lists this microRNA precursor (81 nucleotides) under Bombyx mori (domestic silkworm). RNAcentral describes it as "mir-2807 microRNA precursor family". It matches the Rfam family "mir-2807 microRNA precursor family". The record is from Rfam by way of RNAcentral. Lineage: Eukaryota; Metazoa; Arthropoda; Insecta; Lepidoptera; Bombycidae.